CACUAAGCUCCGCCCCGCGCGCUCAGCGUCCUGAAGGAGAGGGCGGGCCUGAGUCUUGGAGCUCCUCCUACUACACCAAGUGCUUUGAAUCCUGGGUUCGUCAGAAAAGCUCUAGAAAACGCCCUAGGAGUUAGAGCAAACUUGACCGUGAUCCAUUUUUCCUUAUAGUCAGACGGGACAGCUGGGAAGAAACUAUGAAAAACUGUGAAAGAAAGUCUUAGCGCGUUCACCUCCCGCACUCCUACCAGAACUACACUCGCACCCGCAGGGACGAAAGCAUCUCUGACUUUAUUCGGUACUAAGUCCAAACGGUGCUAAGAGAAACCCGGGAAGUGGUGGUGACAAGACACUGAGAACUGGGGAAGGAGACGAAAAACUCACCAACCGAAGCAUUGCAAACACUGGGACCUCGCAGAGAAGAGUAGCUGACCAGUGGCAGAACUCCAGUGUUUCUGGGUCUCAUGACCGAAUCCUAUCUAAAUAUCGCACCACUGAGUCUUUACAGUUAAUCAAGUCUUAAGAGUUGGAAGCAGUGGUCGGUGAAAAAAAGGCAAAGGUAUUUCAGAUAUUGAUUAUAGCCAUCAAUCAAAGGACACCCUCUCAUAUGCUUCCAAAAGCUCAAGUAAGCAAGGAUUUUUCUGUAUUAAUAAUUUGAGCACCCCCAUUAGGUCAGUUCCUAAUUCAGUAUACAGGGGCAUCAUAUUUUUAAAAUAAUUUACAGCGUGAGAAUUAGCAUUCACUGAUUCACUGAGUGCACAAUCUUUGAUAUUAUUCUUAGAUGAAUCAUGCGAAGUUUUUAUUUACAGAAGAGAAAACUAAAGUUGAAAAAGAUUGGUGAUAUAUGUGUAACAUAAGUUAUAGGACUACAAUAAAAGCCCAGUUCUAUUCCA
Molecule: long non-coding RNA, 890 nt
Filed under: Sus scrofa (pig)
Lineage: Eukaryota; Metazoa; Chordata; Mammalia; Artiodactyla; Suidae
Description: lncRNA (ENSSSCG00040069784.1)
Source: RNAcentral